AGAGUUGAUCCUGGCUCAGAAUCAACGCUGGCGGCGUGCCUAACACAUGCAAGUCGAACGAGGGAGUGGAGCAAUCCAUGAGUAGGGUGGCGACCGGGUGAGUAACACGUGACUAACCUACCUUCGAGUGGGGGAUAACCUCGGGAAACCGGGGCUAAUACCGCAUAAUAUCUUUGGAUCGGAAGAACUGAAGAUCAAAGGAGCAAUUCGCUUGAAGAGGGGUCGCGGCUGAUUAGCUAGUUGGCGGGGUAAUGGCCCACCAAGGCUUUGAUCGGUAGCCGGCCCGAGAGGGCACACGGCCACACUGGCACUGGAACACGGGCCAGACUCCUACGGGAGGCAGCAGUGGAGAAUCUUGCACAAUGGGGGCAACCCUGAUGCAGCGACGCCGCGUGAGCGAUGAAGCCCUUCGGGGUGUAAAGCUCUUUCGGCAGGGAAGAUUAUGACGGUACCUGCAGAAGCAGCUGCGGCUAACUACGUGCCAGCAGCCGCGGUAAUACGUAGGCAGCGAGCGUUGUUCGGAGUUACUGGGCGUAAAGGGUGUGUAGGCGGUUGUUUAAGUUUGGUGUGAAAUCUCCCGGCUCAACUGGGAGGGUGCGCCGAAUACUGAAUGACUUCGAGUGCGGGAGAGGUGAGUGGAAUUCCUGGUGUAGCGGUGAAAUGCGUAGAUAUGCAGAGGAACACCGAUGGCGAGGGCAAUCCCCUGGGCCUGCACUGACGCUCAUGCACGAAAGCGUGGGGAGCAAACAGGAUUAGAUACCCUGGUAG
RNAcentral lists this ribosomal RNA (768 nucleotides) under uncultured bacterium. RNAcentral describes it as "bacterial SSU rRNA". It matches the Rfam family "Bacterial small subunit ribosomal RNA", at positions 8 to 793 of the family's 1533-position model. The record is from RNAcentral.